UUCAGGCCUGGCUCAAGCUCUUGUAGAAGAGCCCCCUCCUCUUCCUCAGUGAUGAACACCGUCCUCACCGCCACCUGUGAGCAGAGUCUCUGCACAAGCUCCGGGCUUGACCCGACGAUGACAGCCUCAUCUCGGAGAGUUUAAGGAUGUGAGGACACAAAGGGAAGAGUGGCAACACCGAGAAGAGUGACUGCAGAUUUUGCAGUUAUGUCCAGUGACCACUGGAGGGCAGUGAAGACUCAUGAUUGUGAAUACACUCAGGGUGUCCUUCGUCUGGCUCCAUCCAUGGUCAUGAACUGGCUGGGCUGCCAGCUCUUUACUGUGUGUAUGUGUUAUAUGUGCAUGUGCUCUAUUCAUUAACUUUAUGAUCAUUAUCCUUUUUAAAAGCUUGUAUCAAUGUUGGUGUCGUGCCAGAAACCAUCUGUUACACUGCCUCUUUACCAGUUAGACUAAGCUUCAGUUUAUUUAAACCAGAUGUUCUCAAUUAUUUUAUCUGCCAGGAACCCGUUACAAGAGAAUAUACCGGACAUGUGUUGGAAUAAUUUGACAUAACCUAUUUCUUACACUUCUAUAGUCUUAGUUAUGUGAAAGAACAGCAACAGAGAAAUUAAUUAGAAAGAUAUUAGACAUGUAUUACACAUAUUUGCACCAUCCCAACAGGGAAUAACCAUAAAGCAAUGCAAUUGACAUCAAUGCAUUGAUUUCAUUAGCUGCAAAGAACACUUUAGCUAGACAAAAUGCCAAAGGCAAAUCAAGACAAAAAAGCUAUUUUGAUGUGUAUUUCAGAACAUACACACACAUACAUACGAUUUGUUAGAUUAGAAUGUAUUAUAUGAAAUAUUUUAGAUAAUAAAUAUUAUUGUAAAUCUUUAUUUUUACAAAAGGCUUCAGCCUUCUUUUUUUUUUUUUUACUAAGAUUUUAUAUCAUGAUCAUUUAAAUGUAUAAAUCUAAAAACUUUUAACUGAUCCACUGGCAAAGUAUCACGGACCCCACCCAGAAAUAAAGACAGCAUCUGACCCAAUUUUCUACGGUUGGACACGUCUAUCUUCAUGUACCUUACUUUGUACUCUGGUUAUGUAAAGAUGUAUGUUAUGGAAAGUGCAAAAUAAAAAAUUUGACACAUACUGAAAUAUAUCAUUAACUGAUAUAUGGCUGUUAACCAUCAUUUGCUGUGUAUGAUAUGGACCAAUCUUGCAGAGGUUUACAUGUAAGUCUGCAUUGGGUCUGCGGAGGACCGGGUUCAGCAGGGGCGGAGUGCUCUACAUGCA
Long non-coding RNA from Cottoperca gobio, 1269 nucleotides. RefSeq lists it as uncharacterized. The record is from RefSeq and is a predicted model, not a curated record. The transcript has 3 exons. Lineage: Eukaryota; Metazoa; Chordata; Actinopteri; Perciformes; Bovichtidae.